CAUGCCGCGUGUGUGAAGAAGGCCUUCGGGUUUGUAAAGCACUUUCAGUCAGGAGGAAAGGUUAAGCUGAGUUAAUACCCUGCUAGCUGUGACGUUACUGACAGAAGAAGCACCGGCUAACUCCGUGCCAGCAGCCGCGGUAAUACGGAGGGUGCGAGCGUUAAUCGGAAUUACUGGGCGUAAAGCGUACGCAGGCGGUUUGUUAAGCGAGAUGUGAAAGCCCCGGGCUCAACCUGGGAACUGCAUUUCGAACUGGCAAACUAGAGUGUGAUAGAGGGUGGUAGAAUUUCAGGUGUAGCGGUGAAAUGCGUAGAGAUCUGAAGGAAUACCGAUGGCGAAGGCAGCCACCUGGGUCAACACUGACGCUCAUGUACGAAAGCGUGGGGAGCAAACGGGAUUAGAUACCCCGGUAGUCCACGCCGUAAACGAUGUCUACUAGAAGCUCGGAGCCUCGGUUCUGUUUUUCAAAGCUAACGCAUUAAGUACGACCGCCUGGGGAGUCACGGCCGCAAGGUUAAAACUCAAAUGAAUUGACGGGGGCCCGCACAAGCGGUGGAGCAUGUGGUUUUAAUUCGAUGCAACGCGAAGAACCUUACCUACACUUGACAUACAGAGAACUUACCAGAGAUGGUUUGGUGCCUUCGGGAAACUCUGAUACAGGUGCUGCAUGG
Molecule: ribosomal RNA, 671 nt
Filed under: Pseudoalteromonas sp. UST050418-108
Lineage: Bacteria; Pseudomonadati; Pseudomonadota; Gammaproteobacteria; Alteromonadales; Pseudoalteromonadaceae
Description: bacterial SSU rRNA
Rfam family: Bacterial small subunit ribosomal RNA
Source: RNAcentral